AGCCAGAAAAUCAAUCUUUUAUUAAUAUCUCAUUAGAAAUUAGGAUAAUAGAAAGGAAAAUAAAUAAGCAAUAACAAAAACUCCAAAGAUUGCUGAAAAACCGAAACCAAUCCUAGUAAAUUAGGAUACAAUUUGAUUAAGGAAACCAAAGCGAAAACCAAAAAAAAUUAUAUUAAUUGGAAAAAACCGCUGGAUUAUACACCUCUAUAUCCCCGCUCUGGACUUUCUCCUCUCUGCCUUCGGUGAACUAUGUGCACUAUCGGUCUCUCAUCUCUACCGUUCGCCGAAUGCAACACCGACCAACACGACCUCUCUGAUCGGUGCGUUUUUUUCCUCUCAUCUCUGUCGUUUGCCUAUCUGCAACUCCCAUCAGAAAAUUUUGUGGCUGGUGAGUUCUCCUUCUAUCAUCUCCACUGGAUUUGUUCUUUCGUUUUUUUUCACUCUUUCUCUCACUAGAGUCAUCGAAAUUGGUAUUGAUAAUGGACAAAAAUUUAAAAGACACAUAUGAGCUGUAAAAAGUACUAAAAGACUGCAACAAUAAAUGAUAUGUUAUUUGGUUAUGGCCUAGGAAUUGUUAUUUAAUCAAAAUAAAUAAAUAAUACAUUAUGAAAAUUUUAUAAAACAAUUUUGUUUGUUAAAAAUAUAAAAUCGUAANNNNNNNNNNNNNNNNNNNNNNNNNNNNNNNNNNNNNNNNNNNNNNNNNAAUCAUUUAAUAUAUAUAUAUAUAUAUAUAUCAUCUUCCUAUUCAACUUUUGUUAAAAAUCUCAUAAAUGAUAUAAUAGCUUUGUUAAAUAAUUUAUAUAGAAUAAAAAGCUUAUGAUAAUUCAAAGGGUAUAUAGAAUAACUUCAUUAAUUAUUUAAAAGUUUUGAUUUCGGCCCCUCCACUGAUAGUAUUCGUGUUCCGCCCCCGAGUGAAAUUGAUAUUAUCACCUUCGGAACUUUGAUAACUUAAAAUGUAAUAUUGAAAAUAGUCCGAUCUUAUUGUAAUACAUUUAAUGAUUAACGAUGAUAACUAAUGCAACAAAUCUUAAAAAAUUAUUGUUUCUUACACUUUGAGUAAUAUUGAGAUGGUUGUUUUUUAAGGGCAUCUUAUAUGUAUGAUUACAAAAUAAUAAAACAUGCGACUUUUUCAUGAUCGACUGGAUUAGUAUAAAUAAAUCGUAAAACAUGAUUAGUGCGUAGCAACUAGCAAGUAGCAAUGUACCUUAAAAUAGAACGGUUUUAAACUUUUAUUUAUAUUGCCCCAGUAAGCUCUUGAUUUAUGGAGACUUUCUUUUCUACCAGAAAGAAAGACAUAGGACACGGCUCCAGAAGUUGGUGUUGGUCUCGAGACGAAGGAUUCGAUAAGGCAGUAAAGGAAAAUUCGAUUGAUGCUAGUUCCAGAAAGCAGAUUCCAGAUGUGGAGAUUACGACUAGAGAGAUUUUGGAAGGGGUUCCAGUGGGCCAAUACUCAUAAUUCCCCUAUAUUAUGGGCUUAGUUAGCCCGUUUGUUAUAAUAAGUUAAAUUUUCUCCAUAUCAAAUUAUGUUUGCUAGCUUUGGCUCUUUCAAAAAAAAAUUAUCAAUUAAUUUGUAAACUCUACCACUGUUAAUUAUUUAAUUUGAUAAAUUAAUAAAAAUAAAUUUAGUUCGUAUAUAGACGUAUAGCAUGUUUAUGCGAACCAUUUUAACUUUUGUGUGAUUUUUAUUUCCUUUCACCCAUGAUUAUUUGUGUUUGUGUAAUUCUAAAUUAUAUCAAUGGUCAUUAUGGUUUGGUAUAAACAUUUUUUUUGUCCUUAACUUAUUUCUUUAACUCGGACAUAGUUUUUAUGAUACUUUUUGUUAUAUUUUUGGUCAUUGCUAAACGUAAAAUAAAUAUUUUGUCCUUAAUAUUUUUUUAAUUCAUUUGUUUUUUGGUUACUCUUUAUUAAUUUAGAAAAUAAACUUAGAUAAUUUAUAAAUAAAUGGGUCCUACAUCCCACAUCCUCAUCACUCGCCAGAUUUCGACACCACCUCCACCCGCCAUUCUUUCCACCACCUUAUUCCUUUCAUCCCAAUUAUUUUCAUCUUAUAAAUUAAACCUAGAUGCCAACAAUGAAAAUCAGACAUGUACAAACCUAAUGUAAAUCAGUUGACAUCUACAACCAUCUUUUAUGCUCGAAUCCAUCUAAUGAUUUUUUUUAACGUGGGUUGAGUUUAAAUGUUGGGGCUGAAAAUGAUUUUCUAGGAGUGAUAGUGGGAGAAAAAUCAGAGAAGCUCCAAAUGAAACCCAAAUUUGAAAACCAAAACUUGAAAUGAAUAUUUUUCCUUUUUCUCCAUCCAUCUACCUUGUCCCUCAAUUGUCUAGCCUAUAUAGUGAUUGCAAUCCUUUUGUCGAUCUUCUCAAUCAUUUACUUAUUGAGCCUUGUAACCUAUGUCGGUACCACCUCGAACAAGGCCCUCAAGACAUCAGAAUACAACGGAACACGUAGGCUUGCAUCAUCCAAACCUAAUCCACCAUAAACACUUGGGCCCAAACCAUAAGUAUAACCAUUCUUCCCCUUCCUAGCCAUCACUAUACUACAGGUAUAAUUGGAAACAAAUUAAAAUGAACUCAUAGUGUUACCCAUACUAUUUCUCAACUACUAGCUCCUCAUAAUCCUUGUGACUCUCCGUGAUUCAAAUAUAGAUCAUGUGCAUACUACCAUCCAUACCAAUACGUACCUGCCCCAAGAAUUAUCCCAAAGUUCUCAAGUUGCUCCUCUAUGACCAUCACCAGGUUUCCUAUCAUGCAUGCAUAUGCUUAUCCAUAUACACUAAAAUACUUCUUAAGAGUCUCUAGGAUUUAUCCUCUACUCAUGUGGUGGAAAGGUCUCUGCUAAUGUCGACAAGUCCUCCUAUGAAUGCAAGUUAUAUGUAAUUGAAGAUAAGACAAACAUUUGACUAGAUGUCUCUGCCAUAAGACCCUUCUCAGACAAAAACAUGCAAUAAGGAUAAAUCAAGACUUCUAAUGUUAUCUAGUCAUAAUCAUGUACUAUUGGAAAUAAUGUUCAAGAUUAUUAACUAUUGAUAAUAUUUCUAAAUAAUAACAGGGUUCAUUUAGGUUGUCUUCAUGACACAAAUAAGAAAUCAAAAGAAAAAAAAAUUAAGGAGAAAAUUAGUUUAUUAAUUUAUUAUGCUUAAUAAAUUAAUCAAAAACUAUUUUGGAAUUACUUAUGGAUUAAUUAAUUCAAAAGGUUGAAUAUUAAUUAGUUCAAAUAUUGACUAAUUGGAAUAUUCAAAAACCCUUUAUGGAAUAAGGGAAAAGUGAAAUCUCCAUCCCACAUGGGAUGGGAGAAGAUUUUGAAAUUAUCUCCAUCCUACAUGGCAUGGAAGAUGAAACAUGGCAAGGGCUUUAAGGCUAUAAAUAUGGUACUAAGGGCUUUAUUACGCCUUGCACCUUAGCUUCAAAUUUUUAACAAAUUCUUCCCUUUCUCUCUAUGGGACGAAUUUAUUAACCCUUCCUAGGGUUUGUAGAAAUGUAACCCUCUCCUAGUUUUCUUUUGGUUUCCUCUUAGGACUCUUGGGUGUGAUUCCAUUUGAAGGGUUCUCCAUUGGGUCCUCUCAUCCAAGCAACAUG
Molecule: long non-coding RNA, 3575 nt
Filed under: Lactuca sativa (garden lettuce)
Lineage: Eukaryota; Viridiplantae; Streptophyta; Magnoliopsida; Asterales; Asteraceae
Description: long non-coding RNA (LSAT_LNC001876)
Source: RNAcentral